Non-coding RNA from Oryza sativa Japonica Group (Japanese rice), 505 nucleotides. The record is from RefSeq and is a predicted model, not a curated record. NCBI's taxonomy places the organism in Eukaryota, Viridiplantae, Streptophyta, Magnoliopsida, Poales, Poaceae.
UAAGUGACUCUGAGAGUAGCAAAGCCAAAGCAACUUCACACACACAGUGUACUGAUCAACACUUCUGGAAGUGGAGCAAGGUUGAGUUACCUGUGAGACAGUAAUGAAGAGGAACACCAUCCUUGCUCUCUUCAUCUGGGCCAUGGCUAUGGUGAUCUUCGCCACGGCAAUGCCGGCCAAGGCAAGGAUGGAGGGGAUCCAUCCUCAAGGAUGCAGAUGCUGCUAUUUCAGACUUAGGCCGAUGAUCCAGUGUGCCAAGGCUUGCUGUGGCUCUGACGAUGAGAACUGCUGCCUUGUGAACAACUAGUUCAUCUCGGGAAUAAAUAAACCGAGUCGGUCUUGGACCUUUGCUUAAUUUCCUUGUGUUUCAACGAUCUCGCUGAAGAAUGCAGUUAUAUAUAUGAAAUAAAAUCCAGCUCUUGCUGUUCAUACCUAAAUGUGUGUGUCCUCAUUUCCAAAUCUAUUGUGUGCGGUCAGCACCUUGAAUAAUACUGCAUCUUAUUAA